GGUCUUGGGGUCUGUGGGGCGUGUCUAUUGGGGUCUAUGUGGGUGAAGUGUGAGUCGCUUAUAGUCAGGGUCUAUGGGUCUAUGUGUGUCUAUUGGGGUCUGUGGGGUGAGUGAGUGUCAGUAGGGGUCUGUGGGGUCUGGGGAGGGGGUCUAUGGGGUGAAUGAGUGUUCAUUGGGGUCUAUGGGGUGAUAGUAGGAGUCUAUUGGGUCUAGUGGGGUGAGUGGAUGGUUAUUGGUGGUCUAUGGAGCAUCAAGUAGAAAAGGUCUAUGGGGCGUCAAUAGGGGGUUUUAUGGGGUGAGUGAUGUGUAUAAGGGUCUAAUGGUGUGGUGUCUAUGGUGAGUGGAUUGUAUAGGGGUCUAUGGGUGACUAUUGGGGUCUAUGGUGAGUGAGUUGUCGAGUAGGAGGGGUCCUAUGGGGUGAGUGUCUGUUGGGGUCUGUGGGGUUUGGGGGGGGUUAUUGGGGGCUAUGGGGUGAGUGAAGUGUCAAUAGGGGUCUAUGGUGUCACAUAGGGUCUAUGGGGUGUCUUCGGGGUUGAGUGAGUGUCUAUUGGGGUCAAUGGGGUCUAUGGGGUGUCUAUGGGGUGAGUGGAUGUGUAUAGGGGUCUAUGGGGUGUCAAUAGAGGUCUAUGGGGUGUCUGUUGGGGUCUAUGGGGGGUCUAUGGGGUGACAACAUGGGUCUGUGGGGUCUAUGGGGUGAAUGAGUGUCUAUAGGGGUCUGUGGGGUGUCUGUAGGGGUCUGUGGGGUGUCUAUUGGGGUCUGUGGGGUGAAUGAGUGUCAGUAGGGGUCUAUGGGUCUGUGGGGUGUCUAUUGGGGACUGUGGGGUCUGGGGGGUGUCAGUAGGGGUCUAUGGGGUCUGUGGGGGGUCUAUGGGGUGAGUGAGUGUCAAUGGGGGUCUGUGGGGUGAGACUUUAUUGGGGUCUAUGGGGUCUGUAGAGUGAGUGAGUGUGUAUAGGGGUCUAUGGGGUGUCAAUAGGGGUCUA
RNAcentral lists this long non-coding RNA (981 nucleotides) under Coturnix japonica (Japanese quail). RNAcentral's name for it is "lncRNA (ENSCJPG00005004799.1)". The record is from RNAcentral. Lineage: Eukaryota; Metazoa; Chordata; Aves; Galliformes; Phasianidae.